This 454-nucleotide long non-coding RNA is filed under the name Cyanistes caeruleus (blue tit). RNAcentral describes it as "lncRNA (ENSCCEG00000011453.1)". Lineage: Eukaryota; Metazoa; Chordata; Aves; Passeriformes; Paridae. The record is from RNAcentral.
GGGCUAUAGAGAGACGUGAGCUGUUUAACUACCCCUCAGAAAGACUAUUCUGCCAGGAUAAACCACAUAGGUAAGCCUGUGCUAUCAAAUUUGUGCAACUAUAUAUGAGAAAGUUGCAAGCAGGUUAUAACUUGUGAUUGUUUGUCUCUUUAAAAUCUUUCCAGCUGGGAGUCAAACAGCCUCAAGUGAUGCUGGGAGCCUUGUGAUAAGCUCACUGGAAGGAGAAUGAGGUUAAACUGCAAUCUCUCCCAAUCACCUAGGAACUGCCACAGAUGCUACUGGAAAACAGUUUCUACCUGACUUAUUAGCAGCCCACAAGAUUCUCAAUAGCUCACAAGCCAGCUCACACAACUGAACUAUCACAAAGGAAAGUAGAUUUCUGUCUCACAUUGCUUGUAUAAUUAAAGGUACAAUUGAUUAUUCCAAUUUCCUUUAAAAUGCUCCGCUGUGUGUU